RNAcentral lists this ribosomal RNA (464 nucleotides) under uncultured bacterium. Its description in RNAcentral is "partial 16S ribosomal RNA". It matches the Rfam family "Bacterial small subunit ribosomal RNA", at positions 339 to 795 of the family's 1533-position model. The record is from RNAcentral.
CUACGGGGUGCUGCAGUGGGGAAUAUUGCACAAUGGGCGCAAGCCUGAUGCAGCCAUGCCGCGUGUAUGAAGAAGGCCUUCGGGUUGUAAAGUACUUUCAGCGGGGAGGAAGGGAGUAAAGUUAAUACCCUUGCUCAUUGACGUUACCCGCAGAAGAAGCACCGGCUAACUCCGUGCCAGCAGCCGCGGUAAUACGGAGGGUGCAAGCGUUAAUCGGAAUAACUGGGCGUAAAGCGCACGCAGGCGGUUUGUUAAGUCAGAUGUGAAAUCCCCGGGCUCAACCUGGGAACUGCAUCUGAUACUGGCAAGCUUGAGUCUCGUAGAGGGGGGUAGAAUUCCAGGUGUAGCGGUGAAAUGCGUAGAGAUCUGGAGGAAUACCGGUGGCGAAGGCGGCCCCCUGGACGAAGACUGACGCUCAGGUGCGAAAGCGUGGGGAGCAAACAGGAUUAGAUACCCCAGUAGUC